GCGGUCGAGGUGCUGGUUCGGCCCGAGGGGAUCCGGCUCUCGCCGUCGUCCGGCCUGGUGGCGACGGCGGAGGUGGAGGCCUUCCGGCUGCUC
This 93-nucleotide transfer RNA is filed under the name Caldovatus sediminis. RNAcentral's name for it is "tRNA-Arg". The record is from RNAcentral. Lineage: Bacteria; Pseudomonadati; Pseudomonadota; Alphaproteobacteria; Acetobacterales; Roseomonadaceae.